GCAUACAGCCAUACCACCCUGUCUGCGCUUGAUCUCGUCUGAUCUCGGAAGCUAAGCAGGGUUGGACCUGGUUAGUACUUGGAUUGGAGACCGCCUGUCAAUACCAGGUGCUGUAAGUU
Molecule: ribosomal RNA, 119 nt
Filed under: Sinocyclocheilus rhinocerous
Lineage: Eukaryota; Metazoa; Chordata; Actinopteri; Cypriniformes; Cyprinidae
Source: RNAcentral